RNAcentral lists this ribosomal RNA (253 nucleotides) under uncultured bacterium. Its description in RNAcentral is "partial 16S ribosomal RNA". It matches the Rfam family "Bacterial small subunit ribosomal RNA", at positions 524 to 776 of the family's 1533-position model. The record is from RNAcentral.
UACGUAGGGUGCGAGCGUUACUCGGAAUUACUGGGCGUAAAGCGUGCGCAGGCGGUUCGCUAAGACCGAUGUGAAAUCCCCGGGCUUAACCUGGGAACUGCAUUGGUGACUGGCGGGCUAGAGUAUGGCAGAGGGGGGUAGAAUUCCACGUGUAGCAGUGAAAUGCGUAGAGAUGUGGAGGAAUACCGAUGGCGAAGGCAGCCCCCUGGGCCAAUACUGACGCUCAUGCACGAAAGCGUGGGGAGCAAACAGG